UCCCUCUUUUUCCCUCUUUUUUCUUCCUUCCUUUUCUUCCCUUUCUCUUAUUCUUCCUUUUAAUUCUAACGUGAAAUCCCCGGGCUCAACCCGGGAACUGCGUCCGAUACUGGCAGGCUUGAAUCCGGGAGAGGGAUGCGGAAUUCCAGGUGUAGCGGUGAAAUGCGUAGAUAUGACAUAGAAUACCCAUUGCGAAGGCAGCUAACUACGCGAUAAUUGACGCUGAUGCACGAAAGCGUGGGGAUCAAACAGG
RNAcentral lists this ribosomal RNA (253 nucleotides) under uncultured bacterium. Its description in RNAcentral is "partial 16S ribosomal RNA". The stretch from base 44 to 253 matches the Rfam family "Bacterial small subunit ribosomal RNA", at positions 567 to 776 of the family's 1533-position model. The record is from RNAcentral.